UGAGGAACAUGACCUUCGGCGGGGGAUAGCCGGCCCAACGGCCGGGUAAUACCGCGUACGACCUUGGA
This 68-nucleotide ribosomal RNA is filed under the name uncultured bacterium. RNAcentral describes it as "partial 16S ribosomal RNA". The record is from RNAcentral.